GUCGUAGCGGUUGCUAUACUGCAGUCGAGCGGACAGAAUGGGAGCUUGCUCCCUGAUGUUAGCGGCGGACGGGUGAGUAACACGUGGGUAACCUGCCUGUAAGACUGGGAUAACUCCGGGAAACCGGGGCUAAUACCGGAUGGUUGUUUGAACCGCAUGGUUCAGACAUAAAAGGUGGCUUCGGCUACCACUUACAGAUGGACCCGCGGCGCAUUAGCUAGUUGGUGAGGUAACGGCUCACCAAGGCAACGAUGCGUAGCCGACCUGAGAGGGUGAUCGGCCACACUGGGACUGAGACACGGCCCAGACUCCUACGGGAGGCAGCAGUAGGGAAUCUUCCGCAAUGGACGAAAGUCUGACGGAGCAACGCCGCGUGAGUGAUGAAGGUUUUCGGAUCGUAAAGCUCUGUUGUUAGGGAAGAACAAGUGCCGUUCAAAUAGGGCGGCACCUUGACGGUACCUAACCAGAAAGCCACGGCUAACUACGUGCCAGCAGCCGCGGUAAUACGUAGGUGGCAAGCGUUGUCCGGAAUUAUUGGGCGUAAAGGGCUCGCAGGCGGUUUCUUAAGUCUGAUGUGAAAGCCCCCGGCUCAACCGGGGAGGGUCAUUGGAAACUGGGGAACUUGAGUGCAGAAGAGGAGAGUGGAAUUCCACGUGUAGCGGUGAAAUGCGUAGAGAUGUGGAGGAACACCAGUGGCGAAGGCGACUCUCUGGUCUGUAACUGACGCUGAGGAGCGAAAGCGUGGGGAGCGAACAGGAUUAGAUACCCUGGUAGUCCACGCCGUAAACGAUGAGUGCUAAGUGUUAGGGGGUUUCCGCCCCUUAGUGCUGCAGCUAACGCAUUAAGCACUCCGCCUGGGGAGUACGGUCGCAAGACUGAAACUCAAAGGAAUUGACGGGGGCCCGCACAAGCGGUGGAACAUGUGGUUUAAUUCGAAGCAACGCGAAG
Molecule: ribosomal RNA, 948 nt
Filed under: uncultured Bacillus sp.
Lineage: Bacteria; Bacillati; Bacillota; Bacilli; Caryophanales; Bacillaceae
Description: bacterial SSU rRNA
Rfam family: Bacterial small subunit ribosomal RNA
Source: RNAcentral